GGAUCGAUGAUGACUCCCACAAAUGCAUUCCUUGGAAAUCUGAACAAAAUGAGUGAGAAAUCCCUACCGUCUCCUCGUAGGAACUGAGGUCC
This 92-nucleotide small nucleolar RNA is filed under the name Balaenoptera musculus (blue whale). Its description in RNAcentral is "Small nucleolar RNA SNORD116 (ENSBMSG00010008415.1)". It matches the Rfam family "Small nucleolar RNA SNORD116". From Rfam's summary of the family: HBII-85 is a member of the C/D class of snoRNAs, which contain the C (UGAUGA) and D (CUGA) box motifs. HBII-85 is encoded in a tandemly repeated array with another C/D snoRNA, HBII-52, in the Prader-Willi syndrome (PWS) region of chromosome 15. Unlike most other snoRNAs, HBII-85 is expressed prevalently in the brain (but is absent in PWS patients) and lacks any significant complementarity with ribosomal RNA. The record is from RNAcentral. Lineage: Eukaryota; Metazoa; Chordata; Mammalia; Artiodactyla; Balaenopteridae.